CCUUUCCCCGCCCCGCCGCCUCGCCCACCCCGCCCCGCCAUCCCGCCUCGCCCGUCCCGCUCUCCGUCUUCUCUCCCCUUCCCAGCCGCUCGCCCCGCCGCAUCGCCGCCUCCUCCUCCUGCGGUCGCUCAUCCCUCCUCCUCCACCCAAUCCCUAACCCUAGCAGCUCCCGCCGUCGCCGCCGUCUACUUCGCCCAGCCUGCCAGACCGCCUCCGUCCACUUCCCCAGUGUCGUCGCGGUCGUCCUCACCUGCACACGGCAAGAGGAGCGGCCCCACCCUCUCCUCUCCUCCUUCCCUCAUCACGAGCCAGGACAGGGAGGGCCACCGUGGCCGGGCAGGUCAGGCGGCGCGUCCAGAUCACCGAGGAGCCGCCCGCAAGGUCGGCCAUGGCGCAACCGAGCAGAGCAGGUGAGGAGGGAGACGCCGGUUCCUCUUUCCCGCUGCUUGCUUCGUCGCCGGCGCGGCUCCGAUGGACUCUCGUGGCUCCUCUCUGUCUCCUUCCUCGCCCCCACACGCGGCUCCACUUCCCGCUGGCCAUGGGGCUGGCCGGCAGCAGCGCCUCCCUCCCUGCCGCUGCCAGUCCCGGCGCCGCCGACGGGUCCAUAGGCAGGCGUCGUUCUUGGUGGUUGAGCCGCUGAUGCAGAAGAUUCAUGGAGAGAUUUGUUGGGUGGACGCCGACAUCCUUGCCGUCGUCCGGUUGCAGGGUAGUUCUUACAAAAAGAGGCAAGCUGAAGAGGAAGGUUGCAAGAAGGAGAGCAACUGUGCAUUGUUAUGAUUGCCUCUUCCUCCUGUUGCUAAGUGUCACAAGCAAAAGGACCAAGUGCGGGCGGGUGAGCAUCAGGAGUCCAGUUGAUUGGCUUCGACCUUUGAGUUAUUGCUGGCUAGCAGUGCCACUUCUGAGCGUCUCCUCACCCCUCAC
Triticum aestivum (bread wheat) is the source of this 921-nucleotide long non-coding RNA. RefSeq lists it as uncharacterized. The transcript is spliced from 4 exons. The record is from RefSeq and is a predicted model, not a curated record. Lineage: Eukaryota; Viridiplantae; Streptophyta; Magnoliopsida; Poales; Poaceae.